Molecule: ribosomal RNA, 253 nt
Filed under: uncultured microorganism
Description: partial 16S ribosomal RNA
Rfam family: Bacterial small subunit ribosomal RNA
Source: RNAcentral
UACGUAGGGUGCGAGCGUUAAUCGGAUUUACUGGGCGUAAAGCGUGCGCAGGCGGCCCGUUAAGACAGAUGUGAAAUCCCUGGGCUCAACCUAGGAAUUGCGCUUGUGACUGGCGGGCUCGACUACGGUAGAGGGCGGUGGAAUUCCUGGUGUAGCAGUGAAAUGCGUAGAGAUCAGGAGGAACACCGAUGGCGAAGGCAGCCCCCUGGGCCUGUACUGACGCUCAUGCACGAAAGCGUGGGGAGCAAACAGG